This is a long non-coding RNA of Parus major (Great Tit), 263 nucleotides long. RefSeq lists it as uncharacterized. The record is from RefSeq and is a predicted model, not a curated record. The transcript has 3 exons. NCBI's taxonomy places the organism in Eukaryota, Metazoa, Chordata, Aves, Passeriformes, Paridae.
UUUUGUAGCACUGGAGAACUUCAUUGAACAGUGAAGAACAAAAUCUUGGAUUCUAUUUAGUCUUGGGUGAGACUGUGGAAACAGGUUUCUCCCCACUGCUCCUGUUUCCAGUCUGGUGCCAUUUCCAUUAUGGUGGAAAAGAGACAGGGUAGUCUGACCUUGGAAAAGGGCUAUAAUCCAGUGUCUUUAUAGAGAUGAGGAAGCAGCUUUGACAAGCAGAAGUUAAACCCUAGAUGGUCCAGGACUAUCUAGCCAUUGCUUAA